This 266-nucleotide ribosomal RNA is filed under the name uncultured bacterium. RNAcentral's name for it is "partial 16S ribosomal RNA". It matches the Rfam family "Bacterial small subunit ribosomal RNA", at positions 793 to 1055 of the family's 1533-position model. The record is from RNAcentral.
GUCCUGGCAGUAAACGGUGCACGCUUGGUGUGGGAGGGUUCGACCCCUUCCGUGCCGAAGCUAACGCGUUAAGCGUGCCGCCUGGGGAGUACGGCCGCAAGGCUAAAACUCAAAGAAAUUGACGGGGACCCGCACAAGCGGUGGAGCAUGUGGCUUAAUUCGAUGCAACGCGAAGAACCUUACCUGGGCUUGACAUGCAAGUCGUAUCCCGUCGAAAGGCGGGAGUCAGUUCGGCUGGACUUGCACAGGUGCUGUAUGGCUGUCGU